Long non-coding RNA from Dendroctonus ponderosae (mountain pine beetle), 1398 nucleotides. RefSeq lists it as uncharacterized. The record is from RefSeq and is a predicted model, not a curated record. The transcript is spliced from 2 exons. Lineage: Eukaryota; Metazoa; Arthropoda; Insecta; Coleoptera; Curculionidae.
GGACCAGGAUCAAAUUGAGAGAUAUUUUUAUUCUUUACUCAAUUUAUAUAAACGACGAUAAGGAUGCAUCGAUCACGUGAACGAAAUAGCUUCAGAUAAUUACAUUGUUACUAACUUUUAUCUGUUAUGUAUGUUCGCUAAUAAGUAGUGCAAUAUGUUUAUUAUUGCAGUGAAUUGCAUAAAUCCGGCGCAUUUUUCAUCAACGUAAUUUGGGAGUGACGCCAAUCUGUAAUAUUUGCUUAAUUUUGUAUGUUAUAUUGUAUUGGAGUUUAGAUAAAUUUUUUUCAAAUUGGGGAACAAAAAUAGUACGAGGGAGACAAAUCUUGAGAAUGUGGAACUUUCAUCAGUUUUGCUGGCACAACUGCUGUGGUGUGAGCUGGCGCGCUAUCAUCGACCGACAAGGACUUUUUGUGGGCGAAUUAUUGACGUUUUUCUUGCAGCUCGGCUUGCAAACGGUCCAAUAACGAUGACUAAUAUGCACAUGUAAUAGUUUUACCAUUUUCCAUAUAAUUAAUGUCGAUUACUCCUAGUGAAUACCAGACCUAAACCUCAUACGCAAAAUGUUUUUGAAUUUUUCGCUCAUCUCGUUGAUCUACAGUGGUCUUGAGAAAAAUCGGCUUUUUACUCUUUCAGUGAUAAUUUUUCUAUUUUGAACCUGUUUCAAAAUCUAGGGUUUAUGUUGAAGCAAAAAGUUCAUACUAUACUAUACGAGAAGAUACUAAUUCAAUAUACCGAGUUGUGCGAUUGAACCAAAUAUUUGAAAGUUAAUUUCUAGACUCACAUACUUUGGGCGCAGCUCUGAUUUGGGUAAUUUUUUGAGCAACCCUGUAUAUCGAAUUUUCGUCUUAGAUCGUCUAUAAAGUUUAAGAUUCAACAUCAGCUCUAGGUGAUUUUUGAGCACAGUUUAAAUCACAUAAACAUCAAGUGCAAACCUAAUAAUAGCGUAAUAAACGCUUGAAAAAUAUAAAAAAGGCACAGAAAAAGAGAACACAAAUAUAAUUUGAAAUCACAAGUGCCAAUUAAACCAUUGAACAAUCGGAAUAACAAGCUUGAAAGCAGCUAUUCCCUAAGGACCACAAAGCAACACAAACGAACGAUUAAGUAGGGGAAGUAGAUCUUUUAUUGUAUAAAAAUCAGUGGUAAAGUAAAGUAAAAUGUCACUAAAAAUUAACGUGUCACUUAAUAUUUUGUAUCGGGCUAAGGCUAUUUUGGGCAAGAACAUCAAGUUCAAUCAGUAUCAAUUCUUAGCCUUAGAAAACUAAAGUUUUAGCAUUUUGUAAACCAUGGGACAAUAGCCCACAACUGUCCAGCAAGAAAAAUUGCAACAGCAACUCAUUUAUCUUUCUGUGAUCAUUUAAAAUAAGGCGCUACAUUCCGUGAGUAAAACUCUUCAAAUUU